AAGAAUUUCAGUUUUGGGUAUUGAUAGCGAGGUAAAUGGACCUCUUCCCUG
Molecule: transfer RNA, 51 nt
Filed under: Mammuthus primigenius (woolly mammoth)
Lineage: Eukaryota; Metazoa; Chordata; Mammalia; Proboscidea; Elephantidae
Description: partial tRNA-Pro
Source: RNAcentral